RNAcentral lists this ribosomal RNA (256 nucleotides) under uncultured bacterium. RNAcentral describes it as "partial 16S ribosomal RNA". It matches the Rfam family "Bacterial small subunit ribosomal RNA", at positions 524 to 776 of the family's 1533-position model. The record is from RNAcentral.
UACGUAGGGGGCAAGCGUUGUCCGGAAUCAUUGGGCGUAAAGCGCGUGUAGGCGGCCAGAAAAGUCCGCUGUGAAAACUCGAGGCUCAACUUCGAGCUGUCGGUGGAAACUUUCUGGCUAGAGUCCGGAAGAGGGAGAAUGGAAUUCCUGGGUGUAGCGGUGAAAUGCGCAGAUAUCAGGAAGAGCACCCGUGGCGAAGGCGGUUCUCUGGGACGGUACUGACGCUGGAGACGCGAAAGCGUGGGGAGCGAACAGG